Molecule: non-coding RNA, 270 nt
Organism: Camellia sinensis
Lineage: Eukaryota; Viridiplantae; Streptophyta; Magnoliopsida; Ericales; Theaceae
Source: RefSeq, a predicted model, not a curated record
UAGAUGGCUUAGUUGCGUGGACUUGUGGAUAAUCCAUAUUGGUAUAAUGACUGCCGUGGUACAUAGAUCACCUUCUGUCGUGGUACAUAUAUACCAUUUGUUGGCGUACAUAUAGGACGUUUUGUCAUGGUCCAUAGAAAACUUGUCGUGAUAUAUCACUUUUUGUUGUGGUACAGAUUACGAUGGUAAUUUGUACCAUGCCAAAUGGUAAUUUCACUUGGACGUAAAUGUUAUUUUUUGUGUACGGAGGGUUUUGAUUUUUGUAUGAUA